AUUAUCACAGUGUGCAUCCUGUGUGGCAUAAGAUAAGAGUUGUACGAUGAGGGACAGCUAGUAUUUUAGAACAAGCAAGGACAGGAACUACAGCAUCACUCCUCACAGUAUGUCAUUCCGACUGGUUCGACAAAGCAAGUUCCGUCACGUAUAUGGCACCUGCUUAAAAAGGGAACAGUGCUUUGAUAAUAUUCGAGUAAGCAAGUCAUCAUGGGAUUCCACAUUCUGCGCCGUCAAUCCAAAGUUCUGCGCCAUUAUAGUAGAAUCAGGUGGAGGCGGAGCAUUCAUCGUACUACCACUCAGCAAAUUAAAUAAGACUACUAUUCUAUCGAAGAAAGCAUCGACGGCUGGGCGUAUACCCCCUGAUCAUCCACUGGUUGGUGGACACAAAGGCCCUGUGCUGGACAUCGCCUGGGAUCCCUUCAACGACAAUGUCAUAGCUUCAGGGUCAGAAGAUUGCGUCGUUAAAGUCUGGCAGAUCCCUGACCAUGGCCUGGUAACGACCAUGACAGAGCCGGUAGUUGACCUCGUCCACCACCAGCGGCGAGUUGGCCUGGUUCUAUGGCACCCGACGGCAAAUAAUAUCCUCCUCUCAGCUGGCUCAGAUAAUGUGAUUGUCAUCUGGAAUGUGGGCUGUGGUGAAGCUCUGAUCACCAUUGACACAGUUCAUCCAGACCUCAUCUAUUCGUGUAGUUUCAACUGGGAUGGCUCACUCCUCCUAACCACCUGCAAAGACAAAAAGAUCAGGAUCAUCAACCCGAGGGAUGGUGAAGUGUUUGAGGAAGCAACAUCUCAUGAAGGAAGUAAGGCCACGCGUGCCAUCUUCCUACGAAAUGGACUGGUCUUUACCACUGGAUUCAGCAAGAGAUCAGAGCGACAGUACUCUCUCCGUGCCCCAGGCCACCUCGAUGACCCCAUCACAAUGGUAGAGCUGGACUCUUCCAAUGGUGUAAUGUUCCCUAUGUAUGAUCCAGAUUCUAACCUAGUUUUCCUUUGUGGCAAAGGUGACAGUGUUAUCCGUUAUUUUGAGAUCACACCAGAAGUGCCAUUUGUCCACUACAUCAACACCUUCCAGUUACCAGAUCCACAGCGAGGUAUUGGCAUGAUGCCCAAACGAGGUGUUGAUGUCACCACAUGUGAAAUCACCCGAUUCUACAGGCUCAACAACAAUGGCUUCUGUCAAAUCAUCACCAUGACAGUGCCAAGAAAGUCAGAGUUGUUCCAAGAGGACUUGUACCCAGAUACCCCAGGAGAUAUUCCAGCAGUGUCUGCAGAAGAGUGGUGGGAAGGCAUCUCAAAGGAACCCAUUCUCAUGUCAUUAAAAGAUGGGUAUCAAGCCACACAAAAGUGUGAGCUCAAAGUUACCAAAAAGAAGACCAACAUCUUAGAUAAGAUGCCACCUACUGGGAAAGUGAAGUCUGAAGAAGAUGGAAAAGCAGUUGCUGUUUCUGCAGAAGCAUUGGAGAAGGUCAAAGAGGUCACCAAAGUCAAUGAUGACUUGCGGAAGAAGAUUGACGAGUUGCAGUCAGAGAUGAAGAAGUUCAAGGCAGUGUUCUUGAAACAAGAGAAUCGCAUUAGGGUCUUGGAGACCAAGCUUGGAGAGCUGACUUCUACUGGCGCACCCCAGACUCAACAGCAGGUUAAAAAAGUGCACACUAAGAACGUUAAGAAAUAAUUCGGAGGUCAAAAAUUGGAAUAGUGACAUAGGAGAUGGUGCCUGUCACUUCUUGUUACAAAAUUCACACAGUGAGGAAGCGGCCUGUGCAAGGGCACAUGGUGCAUGCCCCAAGCACUCUCUCUGCAAAUACGGUCAACAACAAUUGUGACAUGGCCCCAGACGAAGUGUAGAUUGCAGAAGCUACCAGAACUGAGUCCUUCUCAUACACAAAGUUGGUGAUGUCUGUGUGAAUUGUGAAGCGUUUUCACUCAUACCUUUGUAAAUUUCCUUACAUCACAUUAUAGUCAGUUACUAAGAUAAGAGGAGAGUCUUCUUGCAAGCUUGAUGUGCCCAAAGCACUUCUUGCUCAAGCAUCUCCCUGCUUAGUACACCCCAAUGAAGAGUAUGGCUCGAUGAGCAUCUUAAUAUUUCAGCCAUGUGGCAAACAUUCUUGAGAAAGGUUGUACUCUAUCCUUAUCCUUAAGGCUGUUUCUCAAGAGACCAGUGACUGUGGUGCAUUGAUUGUUUAUAGUCAUGUGACCCAAGUGAGUGUGAAGGCCUUGUAUAUAGUGUGUUUUAAGGACUGUCACAAGUCCAUUGCUCAGUAGUAACCAACCAGCUGACCCAGCCUAAGCCUAGCCAACUUCCUUCCAUUAAUAUCCUCAUUACUGGUUGUUGUAUGUUCACUACCCUCUAGGAUGCUAGUAUCCUUGUUCUGUUGCCCCAACUUAACUAGCUAACAGGACCUCAUCAGCAUCACAUUACUAAUGAUAACCCUUCAAUUAUUGUGAUCUCGGAUGUGAUUGUUAACAUUAAAUAUAAGUAUAUUUAAUAGGCAGUCAUUACCUGAAUCCAAUUAAUGUGGGAGGGGAAAUAUCUGCUGUACAAACUAUCUGUACAAAAUUGUACAAUAUAUAAUACUUGUUUCCUUACAAAAGUAGGUAGAUAGAUAAAACCAAAUGAUUCAGUAUAUUCUUGAUGUCGCAGGAAUUUCUGAAUCAAAAAUGUUUGAUGCACUGGCUCAGCUGAAGUUGCUGGCAGAUUUUAUUGAUCAGUACUACUAUCAUCAUCAUCAGUAUCAUUAUUUUUGUUUAUAUAAUCAUUAAUAUAAUAAGUUUCAUUGUUGAUUAUUUUUAUUAUUUUUUAUUAUUAUUUUAAAACAAUAAUUUUACUUAUUUGGCUCAGAGUAGUUCCUAUGCAGUGUCCGCUUAUUAACACCCACUAGUGAGGUUGAGUGUAGCUUUAUCUUCUAUAAUCAAUAGGUUGAACAUGUCCAUCAGGUUAUUGUUGCAGUGAAUUACAACUGCAGCUUCUUUUAGCCCAAAUUUUGAAGCUUGAAGUUUCUGUAGGAAGACCCCCAAAAAGAGAGACAGAGGGGUCUGCAGUAAGCCAUAUUGUCAGUGUUGGUCAGGCUACCUUGCUCCAUUACCAUGAUUUGACCUGACUCAAUGUUUCAGGAUUUGGGCUCAACUCUUCACUUCCUUCCAUUAUUCCUUGGUAUGAAUUUUAUACCCAGGACUAUUUGGUGAUUUAAACUACUAUUUAUUAAUUCUGUAUUUGUGUUAGACUAAUGCUUCUCAACUAUGAUGAGAAGAACUUGGAGCAGAGGCACACACCUGGUUUCUUCUGAGUUAACAGAGCCAAAUGUUGAAUGAAGGGUAUUUUAUGCUAUUACUAUUUUCAGAUAUUUUAGAAGAAAAUUGUAUAUUCACUGUUUUUGACUUAUUACUAUGUAUAUUUUUUUUUUUCUUUGUUCUUGUAACCCUGAUAAUGUAGCUUCAUUGCUUUCAAAAGACUCCCUUACAUUUUCCUUUGUCUUUGGCCAAGUGUCUUGUCUUGUAAUUGUUCCAGUAGAGGUGCUCAAAAUUAGCACAUAUUGUGUUUCUACAGCUUAUAAUGUCUCGCAGGUGGUAAAGUUUUAUUGUUGGGUUCCUAGAGUCACUUGUUGCUUAUGCCUGAACAGGGAUAUUGUUAGUCAUUUUGUCCUCUGUAAAUUCCUCUUCUCAUUCGUAAAUGAAAUUGUAAUGAUGGAGCCAUAAAAUAUGUGCAAUUGUUUAAGACAAAUAAAAAAGUCAGUGUUUUCUACCUACUUAAGAGGAAAUGUCCUUUAUCCCUUUUUUUUUCUUUUCUUUUUUUUUUUUUACUUUAAAAUUAUUCAUUUUGUCAUGCAAACUUAGGUAAGCUGUAGAUAAGAGAAUCCCUUGUUUUGUUGAAACCAAAGCCUUUGUUAAAUAGCUGUUGGGAUAAUAUACCAGAGCUAUAUAUUUGAUUUCUUUGAAAGUUUUCCUUGUUAUCAUACAAAGAGGAAUAUGCAAUCUUUUGUGUUUUAUGGUUUCCCACUAUACGUGAAUUUGAAGUAGAAAAAAUUUGAAAAUUGAAAGAGUGCAUUUUUUCUGAGGUGAUAACAUGCUUUGCAACAGUAAUUCUCUAUUGUUGUGUUCAGGAGUAAGGAGUGGGGUUGUGAAUCAUUCAACUGAACUAAAAACUUUCUUUUUCAGUUUAUUAUUAUUAUAUAUAUAUUUUUUGGUUACUUAAUAUGACUUGUGGUUUUAGCAACAGUAUGCAAAUCUUAUGAAUUUGUAAAUUUUAAUUUGACACAUCCUUCUCAGUAAUUUUCAAGCUCAAUUAAAAUACAAAUAUUAAAGUAUAUCAAAGAAAGCUAUAAUUUUUGAUUAUGCCAAUUAUUAAGCGUUGUUCAGCAUUUAAAGAAAAUGGUGCUAAGCUGUAAUUGUUUUAAAUGUAAGCCAUAGUAGUAUUCCUAAGAAUCUUAAUUGAUAUAAAAAUCCACAGGGCUUUGUCUCUGUGCCUUAAUACAGGGCAUGUUUUAGUGCUCUGCAGUUUUCAUACCCCACCCCUUACUAUUUGCUGCAUAACUGAUUAAGGACUUAUAUGUGCCAUUUUGAUAACUGAAGCUCGAAAUAUGUAAGGUUUAUUCAGCACAAGCCGGGUUUAAUAUGGAAUAUUCAAGGAACCCUAUAUAACUGACCCAUAAUUUUUUUUGAAUGCUUAAAUUUUAUACCAAUGUAGAUUGGAUAAUUUUUUUUUUCUUUUUUUUAAUUCUCUUAAUGCAACUGUUUUGUUAGCACUAUUUAUAGUAAAUCAAUAAAGUGAUUAGUUUGGGUUGUGUAAAUGAUGAUUGUAUAAAUUCAGAUUGAAGUAAUUUAUUGAAAGAGUUAUAAAGUUAUGUAACUUUCAUGCGUUGUAUUUGUUUCAUUAAUAUUUAAUACUUUAUUUACAACUUGGAAAUGACUUGUUAGUAUGUAGUAUUUAUUUACAAAAUUGUUUGCCAGUAAUUUUUAAAAGAAUUUACAUAGUGUUAACAACUGUACACAAUAUUUGCUUUUUAAAACAAAUUGAUUUAUAGAUUGCAUUCAUAUGACUGUACUGACAUCUCCAUGAACUAGGUCAGGGCAAAGCGGCCAUAUUACACAAAAGCAAGCAUUGGUCUAAUGGCUAGCAUAUUGCUGUACUUAAUGCACAAUUUUUGUAAUUGUAUUGAAAAUAAAUAGAAUUUUCUAGAAA
Molecule: RNA transcript, 5179 nt
Organism: Penaeus chinensis
Lineage: Eukaryota; Metazoa; Arthropoda; Malacostraca; Decapoda; Penaeidae
Gene: coro
Gene name: coronin-6-like
Exons: 13
Source: RefSeq, a predicted model, not a curated record